Molecule: non-coding RNA, 46 nt
Filed under: Schistosoma mansoni
Lineage: Eukaryota; Metazoa; Platyhelminthes; Trematoda; Strigeidida; Schistosomatidae
Source: RNAcentral
GCACUGCUGAGGAGUCCUAUACUAGGACGGAACGGCCGUUCAGUAC